UAGGGAAUCUUCCACAAUGGGCGCAAGCCUGAUGGAGCAACACCGCGUGAGUGAAGAAGGGUUUCGGCUCGUAAAGCUCUGUUGUUAAAGAAGAACACGUAUGAGAGUAACUGUUCAUACGUUGACGGUAUUUAACCAAGAAGUCACGGCUAACUACGUGCCAA
RNAcentral lists this ribosomal RNA (164 nucleotides) under uncultured bacterium. Its description in RNAcentral is "partial 16S rRNA". It matches the Rfam family "Bacterial small subunit ribosomal RNA", at positions 355 to 511 of the family's 1533-position model. The record is from RNAcentral.